This 440-nucleotide ribosomal RNA is filed under the name uncultured bacterium. RNAcentral describes it as "bacterial SSU rRNA". It matches the Rfam family "Bacterial small subunit ribosomal RNA", at positions 958 to 1398 of the family's 1533-position model. The record is from RNAcentral.
AACGCGAAGAACCUUACCUGGGCUCGAAAUGCAGAGGGCGAUAUCAGAAAUGGUAUUUUCCGCAAGGACUUCUGUAUAGGUGCUGCAUGGCUGUCGUCAGCUCGUGCCGUGAGGUGUUGGGUUAAGUCCCGCAACGAGCGCAACCCUUGUCAUUAGUUGCCAGCACGUUAUGGUGGGGACUCUAAUGAGACUGCCUAGGUUAACUAGGAGGAAGGUGAGGAUGACGUCAAGUCCGCAUGGCCUUUAUGUCCAGGGCUACACACGUGCUACAAUGGUCGGUACAGAGGGCAGCAAAGCCGCAAGGUGAAGCAAAUCCCACAAAGCCGAUCUCAGUUCAGAUUGUGGUCUGCAACUCGACCACAUGAAGUCGGAAUUGCUAGUAAUGGCGUGUCAGCAAUAGCGCCGUGAAUACGUUCCCGGGCCUUGUACACACCGGAGUA